GUUAAUGUAGCUUAACAUAAAGCAAAGCACUGAAAAUGCUUAGAUGGAUAAAAAAUCCCAUAAACA
This 66-nucleotide transfer RNA is filed under the name Desmomys harringtoni (Harrington's rat). RNAcentral's name for it is "tRNA-Phe". It matches the Rfam family "tRNA". Rfam says of the family: Transfer RNA (tRNA) molecules are approximately 80 nucleotides in length. Their secondary structure includes four short double-helical elements and three loops (D, anti-codon, and T loops). The record is from RNAcentral. Lineage: Eukaryota; Metazoa; Chordata; Mammalia; Rodentia; Muridae.